Molecule: non-coding RNA, 540 nt
Organism: Sinocyclocheilus anshuiensis
Lineage: Eukaryota; Metazoa; Chordata; Actinopteri; Cypriniformes; Cyprinidae
Source: the annotation of a RefSeq genome assembly
AUGUUGCUCCUGGUAUUUAUUAUAUUUUCUCUCCUAAAAGAGAACGCUGGUGAAGAUGUCAUAAAACCAGUCUUCACAGAGAAGCAGGUUUUGGAAGGAAAAUAUGUUACACUGAUCUGCAACUACACUGGCACUGUCAACAAUUUACAGUGGUAUCGUCAGUAUCCCGGAUCCAAACCGGAGCACAUCAUCAUGUUCUUUGAGACCAUCCCCAAAUCAGAGCCCGCUCUCCGUCUGACCGCUGCAGCUGAUAAAGCAGCCAAAAGUAUGAAUCUGACGAUCUCUUCUACAGAAGUGAAAGACUCUGCCGUGUACUACUGUGCCCUGCAGCCCACAGUGACAGGAAACACAACUACACUGUACAAAAACAGAACCAAACCAGCCAUCUGUAGUUUUAACCGAAGGAACAGCACCACUCUGUCCUGUUCAUAUGAUGGAUCAGCUUACAGUCUACACUGGUAUCGGCAGAGGCCUGGAUCAAAACCAGAGUUUCUGCUGCUGAUUGUUGAGUCUUCCAAGUAUGUCACCAAAGCUGACUGA